Molecule: unclassified non-coding RNA, 350 nt
Filed under: soil metagenome
Description: partial contains 5.8S ribosomal RNA, internal transcribed spacer 2, and large subunit ribosomal RNA
Rfam family: 5.8S ribosomal RNA (bases 1-120)
Source: RNAcentral
GAUGAAGAACGUAGCGAAAUGCGAUAAGUAAUGUGAAUUGCAGAAUUCAGUGAAUCAUCGAAUCUUUGAACGCACAUUGCGCCCGCCAGUAUUCUGGCGGGCAUGCCUGUCCGAGCGUCAUUUCAACCCUCGAACCCCUCCGGGGGGUCGGCGUUGGGGAUCGGCCCUUUACGGGGCCGGCCCCGAAAUACAGUGGCGGUCUCGCCGCAGCCUCUCCUGCGCAGUAGUUUGCACACUCGCAUCGGGAGCGCGGCGCGUCCACAGCCGUUAAACACCCCAAACUUCUGAAAUGUUGACCUCGGAUCAGGUAGGAAUACUCGCUGAACUUAAGCAUAUCAAUAAGCGGAGGA